This 378-nucleotide ribosomal RNA is filed under the name uncultured bacterium. RNAcentral describes it as "bacterial SSU rRNA". It matches the Rfam family "Bacterial small subunit ribosomal RNA", at positions 28 to 400 of the family's 1533-position model. The record is from RNAcentral.
GACGAACGCUGGCGGCGUGCUUAACACAUGCAAGCGGAGCGACGAACCAGGCUUCGGCCUGGGGCAGAGCCGCGAACGGGGUGAGUAACACGUGGGUAACGUGCCCCAAUGACUGGGACAACCCGAGGAAACUCGGGCUAAUACCGGAUAUGCCCCCUCACGAGAGUGAGGUGUGUAAAGGAAGCUUCGGCCUCCGCAUUGGGAUCGGCCCGCGGCGCAUUAGCUUGUUGGUGGGGUAACGGCCACCAAGGCAACGAUGCGUAGCUGGUCUGAGAGGACGAUCAGCCACACUGGGACUGAGACACGGCCCAGACUCCUACGGGAGGCAGCAGUGGGGAAUCUUGCGCAAUGCGCGAAAGCGUGACGCAGCAACGCCGC